AAAGGUGCAAGGGCGCGACCACAGUUGCCGGCGAAAUGCUAAUGCAAGCGCCAUAGACGAGGCACAAAGGAUAGACAAGCCACAAAGCUUUACACAUAUAUGUGUAAAGUCACAUAAAUCCGAUAAACGAUGGCCAGCUCGCUUGGACGCACGGUCCAGGAAAUCUCAAGUUCCGAAGGCCUCCGCAAGCCUAAUUUUCUCAUGAAGAUUGUAUCGAUAGGAAAUGUUUCAAGCGACUGGGAAGUCCGGCGGUAGGGACCAUCGGCUCCACCGACAAACCGGAAUAUCGGACGAUAAACACACAAACAGGCUACACUGCGCAGCUAUUCCCACACGACUUCAUGUAUAGAUGCUACUGCACGGCUUCAUGUAUGGAAGCUGCUAAGUGUAGCGCCAUUUAUUCCGCUCAAAGAGAAUGCCACCCAAAGGUUACGCGCAUAAGAGCCUUAGUGCCUCUUCACCUAUCUGGUAAAUGUAAAUAUGCCUGAGGAUAAUAAUGAAUCACUUAGUUCGAUAGAAACUAACGACUCCUGGCUUGGCGAAAUCGUUUGGGGCGACAUUCCCAUAAGUGACAGCGGCAGCGACACCGAGAGCGACACUGACAGUUUAUCUGGUGGCGAGACAGCGCCCAAGCUCAUGUGCGCCGUAUGGCUUCUCCCCCGUCAGAAACCAUUCAAUACCGUUUGUGUCGUUCUUGGCGAAUGGCUCCGCGUCCCGCAGGGCCCGCGCCAGAAUCCUUCCCCGCCACAUCCGGAUAUGCCGGCGUUCAUGGAGUUCCCGCGGCCGCGGUAGCCUGAACGGCAGGCGCAGCGGCGGCGGGGCCUAGCAACGCAUCAGCAGCGGCAGCGACGGCGACGGCGGUGGGGCUGGGAGGUGCGGUAGCUUCAACGGCAGGCGCGGCGGCAGCGGGGCCUAGCAACACAGCAGCAGCAGCAGCAGCAGCGAUGGUGGUGGGGCUGGGAGGUGCGGUAGCCUGGAUGGCAGGCGUGGCGGCGGCCGCAAGCGGGCGCCUGAGACGGAGGAGGAGGACACGGUGACAGGCACGCAGCGCCGGCCGGGUCGGUCGGCGGCAGGGUGGCGGGUGGUGGGCCUGCCCCCCCUGCCGCCGUGUGCACGCACUCAGCCGGCGGUGGCGGGAUCGGCGCGGCGACGUCGGGCAUGGCAGCGGUGGGCCUGACCGAGGCCGCCAUGUUGCUGGAUGAUGCUGAUUAUUACUGUGUGAUUGUGGAGUUGCGUUAGGACUUUAGCUCCCUUGCCCGUAUGCAGGAACCCGUAAGGUUUGCUUUUGUUUGCCGACUGGGCUUUAACGCAACCAAGUUGUGAUGGUUUCUUUGCGAGGUGCGGUUGACGAUCUAGGGCCACUGUAGGCUCGCGCAGCCCACUAGGGUGCGAGGUACUUUGGGUGAUGCAGGCAGACUUGACUCAGUUUGAACGAUGCGCCAUGAUUUUCUUCAUUUCAGUUGAUGAAAACAUCCUAUCUUAAGCCCUGAGUUCCUUUCUAGGCUUUGCACUGGGCCCUUGGGUGGCACUUGAAUGACACUGACAACUGCGGUCGCACCUUGUGUCCUCAGCUCAGGUUACAUCAACAUUAUCAUAGAAAGACUCAUAAGCUGGCCGGCGGCACCAACGGCCACUCCUGGGCGGCCUCACCUUGACCGGGGAACCCCCGGCCAUCUUUCAAAAAGUCGUGCGCAAGUCGUACGUGUCUUGCGGUUUUAUGCUCGGCUUGAACUGUUGUGUAAGUGAUAAGUGAUUUGAAAAGUUAAUCCUUGCAUAGCACGUCAGCCUCAGGCAAAAGUGGAAGCUACGGUUGUGUAACGGUGAGACGCCGCAUCUUUGUUUUCCGCAUGGCGCAGCUGCCGCUUCCAGCCGCAGCCUCUGGGGGCCACUUCCCCGAAACCUCUACUCACUCCGGCCAGACUCCAGAGCACAUGCCGAAUGCGAUACUGACAAAGCUGUCAAAAAUGAAAUACAGAAUCGAAGCUUGUGAAGCAACGCCGCUUCCUAGUGCGCCCGUGUGAAACAGGACCGGAAAGCGGGCGUGGUUGUGCAAGAAAACCUGCCACGGACCUCUCACCCACACCCGCACCGCCUCCACCUUCAUGAGCGGCUAGCAAUCGGGACCCGCACACAGUCCCACACUGACUCCCUACGCCUAGCUUCCCCCUCAUGGCAUUUACUUCUUAAGCGACACCAGCAGCUGUCCCGCCUCGUUCUUCGAGGAUUUGCACAGUGACACAGUGAGGCCUUUGAGACCCGCACGCAGCUCCGGAGUGGUGGUGCGCUUGGCGAAGUAGCGGGUGAAGUCCUGCACGAGGCGCAGUUGGGGGCGACCAGGACGGGAAAUGCACUCGCGUAAUGCGCACGCACACACACACGAUACACAUGACACACAGGUGCAGACAUGUGUGCACACGCUUCUCCCCGAAGGAACAUGCCCUUCAAAACGCUAUGGGCCAUUCAGCCAAUACUCGUCCAUAAUACCCGUUAUGCUCGAGUGAUACCUACUGACUUAGGUGACGUUCCUUUUUAACAGAUACACACCUGUUGGUGGUCAGCUUGCCAAGUGGUUAGGGGAUUCCUCUGUGUUCCUCACCGCCACCCAGUUCGCACAGCACUUGCACAGCACACAUUUGUAUGCAUUUGUAAACACAAAGACACAAGUACAGACACACAGACAUACACACUCAACCGACACACAGCACAGCAGGGCACCUGGAAUGGCAUAAUUCCAUUGGGUUGGCGUCGGAGCAACUCGAUGACCUCCUCCGCGGUGACGGCCGGUCCAGCAGCUCCUCCUCCUCCCCCUCCUGCAGCGGCAGCAGCCGGGGCACCCUGAGCGGGCCGCUGCAUAGACAGGGCGGCCGCACUGGCACCAGCAGCAGGCGCCGCCCCUGCCGCAGCCGGCCUGGCAGCCGCUGCCACGGGACCUGCUUGCGUGGCGCCUGCCGCCGGCUGAGGAAGCGGUGGCGUGGCCGUACGCGCGCG
Molecule: long non-coding RNA, 2988 nt
Filed under: Volvox carteri
Lineage: Eukaryota; Viridiplantae; Chlorophyta; Chlorophyceae; Chlamydomonadales; Volvocaceae
Description: long non-coding RNA (VCAR_LNC000201)
Source: RNAcentral